CCUACGGGUGGCAGCAGUGAGGAAUAUUGGUCAAUGGGCGCGAGCCUGAACCAGCCAAGUAGCGUGAAGGAUGACUGCCCUACGGGUUGUAAACUUCUUUUAUAAAGGAAUAAAGUGAGGCACGUGUGCCUUUUUGUAUGUACUUUAUGAAUAAGGAUCGGGUAACUCCGUGCAAGCAGCCGCGGUAAUACGGAGGAUCCGAGCGUUAUCCGGAUUUAUUGGGUUUAAAGGGAGAGUAGAUGGGGUGUUAAGUGAGGUGUGAAAGUUUGCGGCUCAACCGUAAAAUUGCAAUUGAUACUGGCAGCCUUGAGUACAGUUGAGGUAGGCGGAAUGCGUGGUGUAGCGGUGAAAUGCUUAGAUAUCACGAAGAACUCCGAUUGCGAAGGCAGCUUACUAAACUGCCACUGACAUUGAUGCUCGAAAGUGUGGGUAUCAAACAGGAUUAGAUACCCCGGUAGUC
RNAcentral lists this ribosomal RNA (460 nucleotides) under uncultured bacterium. Its description in RNAcentral is "partial 16S ribosomal RNA". It matches the Rfam family "Bacterial small subunit ribosomal RNA", at positions 338 to 795 of the family's 1533-position model. The record is from RNAcentral.